RNAcentral lists this long non-coding RNA (1040 nucleotides) under Astyanax mexicanus (Mexican tetra). Its description in RNAcentral is "lncRNA (ENSAMXG00005005455.1)". The record is from RNAcentral. Lineage: Eukaryota; Metazoa; Chordata; Actinopteri; Characiformes; Acestrorhamphidae.
UGACUGACAAUAUUGUCCAUUACAGCACACAUUUAUUUUAACGACUGCUCUGUUCUGUAUGUUUUACAGGAGCUGUAGUGAUGUCGUUACCAAAGGUGCUAGCAGUACUACUGUAUGUUGGUAAACUUCCUCUGACUGUCCUGUUCACCAGCAACCCUAACACUACACUACAAAGUACACAGAAACACAAGUCCAACAUCACCCUGCACUGCGAGGACAUCUGUUCCUCAGAUCAAUGCUUGUUUCAAGCACCACCUGAAGUCCUCACACAUCUGUAUGACAGCAACUGUGAGCAGGCCUGGUCCUUCCAGGAUGGAUAUCUCCUGGCUGAUGGAAGCUCUACAGCACAAAACAGAACCCUGCACCCAUUAGUCUUUGCUGUGACACCCACCAGUGUGACCACCAGAUACUGUAUCAGUGGGCUUCAGUAUGUGAUGACCUGUCACGACUCUGAGGUACAGUCAUUUCCUCUAUUAGAGCUUAAAUCGAUUCUGCAGUCCUGUGCUUCACUUUUCUGCCUUUAGGAUCGUAAAACCUUUGUCUGUUAAUCAUCAUGCUGUCAGCAUCCGCACUCACUCUCGCCCCAGUCCUAUCCCAGUGUGGAUUUAUUAGGAUAUACUAAUGGAAAGGGAAGUAACCUGAUAAGUGAUAAAGCAGUAAUGUUGCAAAAUGAACUAUUUACAUAACCCCUGCAGCAGACCCACCCCAUAUAAUAUAAUAUAAUAUAUAUAUCUCAACUCAACUUUAUUUAUAGAGCAUUUUAAAAACAACAACAGCCGCAACAAAGUGUCGUACAUUUUUGUGCUGCAAAUUAUUUCAAUGCCUCCCAAGUUUAAUAUAUGCUUUUUUUUUAAGUUAUUUAAAUCAUUAAUGUUUAAACAAUGUAAUGGAGGUGAAGUGUAACAUUUCUCGGGUGUAUUAUAUAGUACCAACUAUUGUAAAAGAACAAAACUAAAACUGGUUUCCUGAAAAUAUCUGACUAAUGCAUUUUAGAUAUAACAAAUAAUAAAAUAAAUACAUAUUAUUAUUAUUAUUAUUAU